AAUCAACGCCUGGCGGCGUGCCUAACACAUGCAAGUCGAACGCCUGGAGGGGAGCAAUCCCUGAAGGGAGUGGCGAACGGGUGAGUAACACGUGGGUGACCCGCCCUGGGGUGGGGAAUAACUUGGCGAAAGGCGAGCUAAGACCGCCUAAGCCCUGCAGGUCGAAGUGGAGGGGAAAGCCGGGUCAAACCGGCGCCGCAGGAGGGGCCCGCGGCCGAUUAGCUAGUUGGUAGGGUAAGGGCCUACCAAGGCGACGAUCGGUAGCCGGUCUGAGAGGACGGACGGCCACACUGGAACUGAGAGACGGUCCAGACUCCUACGGGAGGCAGCAGUGGGGAAUUUUGCGCAAUGGGGGAAACCCUGACGCAGCAACGCCGCGGGGGGAAGAAGGUUUUCGGAUUGUAAACUCCUGUCCGGGGGGAAAAGGAAGUGAUGGUACCCUUGGAGGAAGCCCCGGCUAACUCCGUGCCAGCAGCCGCGGUAAUACGGGGGGGGCGAGCGUUGUUCGGAAUGACUUGGGCGUAAAGGGCGGGUGGGCGCCUGGGAAGGCUCCCGGUGAAAGUCCCCGGCGUAACCGGGGGAGGUCCUGAGAACCCCCGAGGCUGGGAGUGCUGGGAGAGGGAGGGGGGAAUUUCCCCGGUGGGAGCCGGUGAAAUGCGUAGAGAUCCGGGAGGAACACCAGAGGCGUAGGCGGCUCCUGGACAGACACUGACGCUGAGGCGCGAAAGCCAGGGGAGCAAACGGGAUUAGAUACCCCGGUAGUCCUGGCUGUAAACGAUGGUCACUAGGCGUGGGGGGUGCGAAAGUCCUUUCUGUGCCGCAGGUAACUGAUAAGUGACCCGCCUGGGGAGUACGGCCGCAAGGCUGAAACUCAAAGGAAUUGACGGGGGCCCGCACAAGCGGUGGAGCAUGUGGUUUAAUUCGACGCAACGCGAAGAACCUUACCGGGGUUUGAACUGCCGAGGCAACCGCGCGAGAGCGCGGGUUCUCCGCAAGGGGACUUUGGCAGAGGUGCUGCAUGGCUGUCGUCAGCUCGUGUCGUGAGAUGUUGGGUUAAGUCCCGCAACGAGCGCAACCCUUGUCGGUAGUUGCCCACAGGUGAAGCUGGGAACGCUACCGAGACUGUCGGCGAAAAGCCGGAGGAAGGUGGGGAUGACGUCAAGUCCUCAUGGCCUUGAUGCCCCGGGCUACACACGUGCUACAAUGGGCGGCACAAAGGGGAGCCAACCUGCGAGGGAGAGCGAAUCCCAAAAAGCCGUUCCCAGUUCGGAUCGCAGUCUGCAACUCGACUGCGUGAAGGUGGAAUCGCUAGUAAUCGCGGAUCAGCAUGCCGCGGUGAAUACGUUCCCGGGCCUUGUAC
This 1360-nucleotide ribosomal RNA is filed under the name uncultured bacterium. Its description in RNAcentral is "bacterial SSU rRNA". It matches the Rfam family "Bacterial small subunit ribosomal RNA", at positions 28 to 1386 of the family's 1533-position model. The record is from RNAcentral.